CCUAAAAAAACAGCGUGCAUAAGAAAGUGAUUGCAGGCUUUCGCGAGCUUCAGCAAAUGCACUCGAUCACAGAUUGCACGCUUCCCAGCCGAAAUAAAGCCCCACGUGAAAUUUAAAUAAUAACCUGUGAUAUAAGAUUUUGGCCAUACUGCCCAUCUAAAUCAUACAUCCCACACUAUCAACAGGUGCGUCAUGGAGGCUACACUUCUUGU
This is a long non-coding RNA of Sinocyclocheilus rhinocerous, 212 nucleotides long. RefSeq lists it as uncharacterized. The transcript has 5 exons. NCBI's taxonomy places the organism in Eukaryota, Metazoa, Chordata, Actinopteri, Cypriniformes, Cyprinidae. The record is from RefSeq and is a predicted model, not a curated record.